RNAcentral lists this long non-coding RNA (199 nucleotides) under Setaria viridis. RNAcentral's name for it is "long non-coding RNA (SVIR_LNC007730)". Lineage: Eukaryota; Viridiplantae; Streptophyta; Magnoliopsida; Poales; Poaceae. The record is from RNAcentral.
UUCCUUCCGUGCAGCUUUCAGCCUGCCCUACUGGCCUACCGGCCUGCUGGACCUCACGGGCCCCCGGCCUACCAAACCAGUUCGAUGACCCCGCACCGGCUCCUGGGCCUACGCGACCCCGGCCCACCUGACUCCCUCGCCCGGCCGGCCUCCUUCCUCCUCUUUCUCCUCUGACGCGCGGGCCCGCAGUCGCCAGCAC